This 3655-nucleotide long non-coding RNA is filed under the name Ovis aries (sheep). RNAcentral describes it as "lncRNA (ENSOARG00000025964.1)". The record is from RNAcentral. Lineage: Eukaryota; Metazoa; Chordata; Mammalia; Artiodactyla; Bovidae.
AUGCCUCUGUAUAACUUUAUGGGUCACUUCUCAUCCUCUUUCGAGGUAUUUCCUUUCCUUUCCUUUCCUUUCCCUUCAAGACCCAGUCCAAAGUUCCCUUCCACAGUGCUGUCUCGAAGCCCUGGCUUGCAGGUGGGUUCUGCUUCCCUUCAACUACCUAGUCCACAGCACAUGUCACUGCAGCUCAAAGGGAGGAGAGUCUUAGGUGUCAAGCGGGCUAUCUUACCACUCAAGGUAAGAUAUUCAGUCCAAGUCCAGCGUCACAACAGAAGACUUGAGUUAGCUCUUUUGGGAACCAAUAUAGCCCAUGGUUAUUACAGUCCACAUCAAUAUUGUUGUUGUUCAGUUCACAAACUGGUUGCAACUCUCCAUGACCUCAUGGAUUACAGCACACAAGGCUUCUCUGUCCCUCAUCAUCUCCUGGAGUUUGCCCAAGUUCAUGUCCAGUGAAUCAGUGAUGCCAUCCUGCCUUCUCAUCCUCUGUUGCCCUCCUCUUCUUCUGCCCUCAAAUUUUCCAAGCAUCAGGGUCUCUUCAUAUGAGUCAGCUGUUCACAUCAGUGGCCAAAGUAUAGGAGCUUCAGCUUCAGCAUCAGUUGUUCCAAAGAAUAUUCAGGGUUGAUUUCCCUAAAGAUUGACUAGUUUGAUCUCCUUGCUUUCCAAGGGACUCGGUUAUUAAAAUGAUUAGCAAUGAGAGUUUAAACAUUUUUCUUUCAUGCAACAGUGAAGUCAUGCCUUUCUUAUCUCCCCCAUAGCGUACUUGUGAGAAACUGACUUUCAGAUGGAAUGUAGGACUUGGAAUUAGGCAUUCUUUCAGGAAUCAUUAAUUGUCCAUCUAACCUGUAUUCAGCAUUCUUCUGUAUCUUUUCCAUAAAUAAAAGACAGUCUUUGUUUUCUAGGAGCAAACAGCAUUACAAGAUCAUUUGUCUGCUCCUUUUUAUUAGAAUAACGAUGUCAGCAUAGUAAAACCUUUUUGCUGUUGUACUCAUUCUUUCAUCCAGUGUUUUUAUGGCCUCUCCCAGCUUACUACCAUUAAAGAAUCAGAAAAUGUCCUUUAUGGUUUCAUCAAAAACAUUGCUUAAAAACUAGCAAACAGUUCAGGACUAAGGACAAAACUCUCUGGUGCCUGGAAACAAAAAUUCAAGUCCCGUUUAGCUCAAACUUUUAAUAAAUCUCUUGUGUGUGCUCAGUGCUGUCGCGUCUAACUCUUUGUGACCCCAUAGACUGUAACCCACCAGGCUCCUCUGUCCAUGGGAUUUCCAGGCAAGAAUACUGGAGUGGGUUGCAAUUUCCUCCUCCAGGAGAUCUUCCCGACCCAGGGACCAAACCCACAUCUCCUAUGUCUCCUACGUUGGCAGGUAGAUUCUUUACUGCUGAAUCAUCUGGGAAGCCCAACCUUGUAUUAAAAACUUUGCAAGGCAGUGGGAUUCAGAGAUUAAUCAGGUACAGCCACAAUGCUCUAAGAACUCCCCAAAUAUGGCUGUGAUAGGGACACAGCACACACGCACAGUUUAACAUGUCAAUGACCACUGGCCAUGUCUAGAUCAUAUUUCUUCCUUGGUCCCCAAGAUCUUCAGAGAAUUAUCCUUCAUGUCCAAGUUGCACACACAGAGAAGGCUAAGACUUAUUUGGAACCUAGGAUAGCAAAAUAUUUCCUAGAUCAUGAUUGCCUUUUGCCUUGGGCCACAUCUGUCCAGACUGAAUUUACUCCAAUGGGAUAGCUAUUACAGAGGCACUCCUUCAGCACUGUAAUCUAAUGAGAUGGCUUUGGAUACUAUUAAAAGUUAAAUCAGUCGAUAAAUGAAAUAUUAAAAUCACCAGAGAAUAGGCCCUAUGCACAAAAUAUUAAUACCACAAGCUUGAAAUCAAAUGCUGAACAUGAAUUUAGCCAAAGCCAUUAAAACAAGACUCUGGACUCUAGACUGAAACUUGGAGCUGUGCCUGAGGAGAGUUUUGCAAAAGCUGGAUUUUUCCUCUUGUAAGAGCCUUGGUGUGAGGGAGCUACAUGUUGAUGGCUCUCUUAGGACGUUAAUUCUGGGAAAACCCCUGGGAACUCAUAGCACUUAGGAAAUGAUGGAUCAAGUCACAAGGCAAGUGCUUUAUCUAGUAGGCUGUGCUUUAUCACUAGAUUGUGAUGUCUGUAAGGAUAGGAAACGGGUCUCACCCAGCUCUGGAUACCCAGCUCGGAGCCAGCAUCUGCCACAGCAUAGAUGCUCGCCACAUGUUAUGUUCAACCUCAUUUUCCACAAUAUUCUCUCUCUCCCUCCCUACCCCUCUCUCUCUCUUUCUCUCUGUCUCAACAUCUCUUUCUCUCUCUCUCCCUCCCUUCCUCCUUUCUCUCUCUGGAUUCCACAAGAGUUCCCUAGCAAAGGUGUAUGCAUCUUUCUUGGCCUGCUCGCUUCAUCCUGUCUCUUCCGAGAAUCAUCUCUGGUCCCUAUGUCAGAGCCACUCUCUCCUCUGCAGCUGAUCCCUUUGCCCAUGGCUUGAGGUAUGGACAUUCACUGGACCAUUUUUCCAGCCUGCCGUGAAUUACAGUUACCUGUACAAACAAGUGUCACUGCCGUUUUUUAGGUUCUCCAAGAUUCUGACUCUGAGAUAAGGGUCAGAAGUCACAAGUUCAAAUGGUUUAUUAGGCAGGUAGAGAGAAUAUUGGAAUGGAAGUGGGCUAGUGUUGCAGGAAGGUGUGGCAGUCAAUAAAAAGCAUUAUAUUAAGCCAGUUACCAGGUGACUGGUGCUUCAUCUCAAGAGAAAAUUCUGGAAAAUGGUAUAAAACACACCCCUAUGAGCCCACCUGAGGGGCAUGGCAGCUGGGAUAUUUAUACACCAACUUCCAGAAAUAUAUAUUUGAGGGUUGCUCCCAAAGGCUGCUUCCUAGCAUGUCCAAAUUAUCAGUAACAAGAAGAGAGCAUCCUUCUGUAAACCCAAGGGAAAAAAUCAGCCAUGUGUCCUCCCCAAAUUCAUAUGUUGAAACUGUAACCCCUCAUUUGACUGUAUUUUGAGAUAGAGCUUUUAAGAGGCAAUUUCAGUUAAACAAGUUGCAAGGGUGGGGUCCUAGCCCAAUAGGAUUAGUGGCCUUAAAAGAAGUGGAACAGAGAGAUCUCUGUCUCCACGGGCACACAACAAGGAAAGGUAGGUGAGAAUACAGAGAGAGACAGCCAUCUGCAAGGAAGAGAACACUCAACAGAAAAUAAAUGGGCAGGAACCUUGAGCUUGGACUUCUUACCAUCCAGAACUGUGAAAAAAAUAAAUUUCUAUUGUUGCAGCCACCGAGUGUAAGGUACUCUGUUAUAAGAGAGUAAAUGGACUAAGACAGGAGUUCACUGAAAGGUCAGAGAAACCUGGGAGGGGCACUGAACACAUCUAUUUCUGUGCCUCUUACAAGGCUGAGCCCAAGGCAGGGACGAUGCAAUGCUGAAUUCCCUGAACCCACCAACUAAAGACAGAAGAGAAGCAGCACUUACUGGGCACUCACCACAUGUCAGGUACCAUGCCAGACAUUGUAAAAAUCUACUUUAUUAUGGUGUCACUUACAUACAAUCAAAUGCACACAUGUUAAGCAUAUAGUUUGGUAAAUGCUGGCAAAUGUGUAUGCCUACAUAACUAUCCCCCACAAUAAAGAGACAGAAAAUUUCCAUCACCAAAAAGUCCCAGGUGUCCC